AGAAUCAACGCUGGCGGCGCGCUUAACACAUGCAAGUCGCACGAGAAAGGGAGCAAUCCUAAGUAAAGUGGCGCACGGGUGAGUAACACGUGGAUCAUCUACCUUUUAGUGGGGAAUACCUCUGGGAAACCGGAGACAAUACCGCAUAAGCCCGCAAGGGGAAAGCAGCAAUGCGCUGAAAGAGGAGUCCGCGGCCGAUUAGCUAGUUGGCGGGGUAAUGGCCCACCAAGGCGAAGAUCGGUAGCCGGCCUGAGAGGGCACACGGCCACACUGGCACUGAAACACGGGCCAGACUCCUACGGGAGGCAGCAGUGGGGAAUCUUGCACAAUGGGCGAAAGCCUGAUGCAGCGACGCCGCGUGAGCGAUGAAGCCCUUCGGGGUGUAAAGCUCUUUCGACGGGAACGAUAAUGACGGUACCCGGAGAAGAAGCUGCGGCUAACUACGUGCCAGCAGCCGC
Molecule: ribosomal RNA, 458 nt
Filed under: uncultured bacterium
Lineage: Bacteria
Description: SSU rRNA
Rfam family: Bacterial small subunit ribosomal RNA
Source: RNAcentral